Molecule: long non-coding RNA, 701 nt
Organism: Solanum tuberosum (potato)
Lineage: Eukaryota; Viridiplantae; Streptophyta; Magnoliopsida; Solanales; Solanaceae
Exons: 5
Source: RefSeq, a predicted model, not a curated record
GGGCAAAAUAAAUAUAGAAGCUACAAACGCGUUCUUCCCCUUUUCAUCUGGGAAACUGAACGCCUCCUUUGACGAAUUCCAGCUACUGAUCUUCAUUCUCCACACCGACGAAGCAUAGAAAACAUCAGUUACGUAGCUCAACUAUCGGUAUCAGAAAAGACGCUGGGCUAAUUUCAUCAUAGGCGACCUCAAAUCUCUUACACAUGUGUUGUGACAUAUGACCCAACGGGAACAUUCCUUGUCAAUCUCAUUGCCAACCGAAUACUAUGUAGGAGAAUGAGAUUCUGAAGAUGCUGAUACCACACAUCAAAAGUUGCACAGUGAACAACCAGAUCUAAAAGUUCUGCAAUUUUUCAGGACAACCUUCUGUAUCAUGUCCCUGAAUGUUCGAGUGAUGCCCAUUUGCUCUCAAUCUCUCAAAUAGAUGCAUAUGGCUCAACCAAAGGAGUGAAGGAGAAAUGUUUCACCUUCUUCUGGUGGUCACAAGCUAGAUUGUGUUUGGUGCAACUGUUGUUUGCAAGGAUGGUGGAGACGUGCAUUGCAGUAGUUGGAAGUAGCAUGAGAUUGCAAAAAUUGAUCACUUGGAUAGCAUUGCAGCUGUUCCAUAGUCAUGAAAAUUGGGUUGUUUUCUCUCAUCAGAUUUACAAGUAUUUUCGCUUGGAAGACGCAGGUAACCAGGAUUAGCAUCCAGCACCUCGUUG